GACGAACGCUAGCGGCGUGCUUAACACAUGCAAGUCGAACGGAGCUGUUUAUUUCGGUAGAUAGCUUAGUGGCAAACGGGUGAGUAACGCGUAGGCAACCUGCCCUUAGGAUGGGGACAACGGCCCGAAAGGACCGCUAAUACCGAAUGCACUCUAACUUCCGCAUGGAAGAAAGAGGAAAGAUGGUGCAAGCCAUCGCCGAAGGAAGGGCCUGCGUCUGAUUAGCCAGUUGGUGAGGUAACGGCUCACCAAAGCGACGAUCAGUAGCCGGUCUGAGAGGAUGAACGGCCACAAUGGGACUGAGACACGGCCCAUACUCCUACGGGAGGCAGCAGUGGGGAAUCUUCCGCAAUGGGCGCAAGCCUGACGGAGCAACGCCGCGUGAGUGAAGAAGGUCUUCGGAUCGUAAAGCUCUGUUGUUGGGGACGAAAGGGUAGACGAGGCAAUGCGUCUACUAAGACGGU
This 464-nucleotide ribosomal RNA is filed under the name Veillonellaceae bacterium oral taxon 129. RNAcentral describes it as "bacterial SSU rRNA". It matches the Rfam family "Bacterial small subunit ribosomal RNA", at positions 28 to 476 of the family's 1533-position model. The record is from RNAcentral. Lineage: Bacteria; Bacillati; Bacillota; Negativicutes; Veillonellales; Veillonellaceae.